RNAcentral lists this transfer RNA (71 nucleotides) under Bos taurus (domestic cattle). It matches the Rfam family "tRNA". From Rfam's summary of the family: Transfer RNA (tRNA) molecules are approximately 80 nucleotides in length. Their secondary structure includes four short double-helical elements and three loops (D, anti-codon, and T loops). Lineage: Eukaryota; Metazoa; Chordata; Mammalia; Artiodactyla; Bovidae. RNAcentral also lists the same sequence under 1 other name. The record is from Rfam by way of RNAcentral.
UCCUUGAUGGCUUAGUGGGAAGAAUCUGCCUGCCAGUGCAGGAGACACAGGUUUGAUCCCUGAUCCAGGAA